CCAACAAGGCCAAACAUAAAUGCAACUGGCUCCCUGGCAGCACACAUGAACACACGAGGGAUCAAGACUCCAGUCCGACACGCUCCCAACUAUACUUAAAAUUUUAUCUUUUUCCACUUUUCUUUCACUCACAUUCCUGCACAGAAACGUGAAAACAUGAAGUCUCUGAUUCUCGCUCUUCUGGUUUUGCUGGUUGUCAACCAGGGUGAAGCCUUGAAGUGUUACUGUGGAGGCCAAGGUAAGAUAUGUUCAGGUGAUGAGGAGACCUGCUCCGGACCAAAUCAAGUCUGCGCCAGCUUCAUUCUUCAAUCUGGAUUCCUUGUCAGCAUCUUCCGAAGUUGCCAUGAUGGAAAUGAGUGCAAGCAUCUGGUUAAUUCUAAUACUGUAGCUGGCAGAUGCUGCAGCACUGAUCUGUGCAAUUGAUAAAUGAAAAUAAACUCAUUAAAAGUUUUGUUAAAAUACAAUUUCCAAUGUCAAUUAUGAACCCCCACAAUAAAGGUUUGUUAUAUCAAAAGAUAUUUUCCAUAUUUUUUGUUAUUUGAUGUUUUUUUAUUUUUUUUUAAAGAUGCUAUUUCAAAUUGCAUACUGCCCUCCAAAACAUAGUGUGCUAAAUUUCAUCUGUUGGGAAACUAUCUCUGUGGUCUUCAUGCAGGAACUCCUAAAAAUGAUGAUUGCGAUCAUUUUGUCAACUUAUUACCCAGACUGUUUUGGCCAAAUAUUAGCACUAAGUCAGCUGUUACAUUUAAAAUUAUUUGUAUUUUCUCCUGAUGAAUCAGGAGUUGCAGGAUCAACAUCUGGCCUUAAGUCACUCUGUUUGUGAGUGAAACCCAGUGGAGUUUGAGUUAAUGAUACACUGGGUUUGCAUUGAUUGCAUAAAAAGUACAUAGGAAAAUGAAAGCCAGCAACCUGGCAGCACAAAUCUCAAGAAUCAACACACCAGAGAGACAAUUUACCAGGUGAGCUAAGUUUUUUCAUAUGUGCAUGACUGAAGUGAUUCCAAAUAUGGCAUUUGAUUUCUCUGUUUUAUUCAUACAGAUAUUGGGGUAAAGACACAUGAAAAUAUGAAGUCUGUGGUUUUUGCUCUUGUGGUUUUGUUAGCUGUCAGCCAUGGUGAGUUAAUAUUCAUGAAUCACAGUAAACCUGCUGUCUAUUUCUACUAAACUGGAUGACGUCCUUCUUAAAACCAGCUGCAAUAAUCUGCAGCUGAUCAAUAACAGUUUGUAUUAUGUAUAUGUUUCCAGUGUUUCUGUUUUGAGACGAUUUUAAAGUUUAAGGACAAUAAUUAGUGGUGGUAAAAAUCCAGCAAUAGUUGAAUGAGAUUUUUCCAGGUGAAGCCUUGAGGCGUGGAGGCGUGCUCCUGUUUAAAUCAAGUCUGUGCCAGCAUCAGCUAUGAGGCCGGAGCUGAUGUCGGCUUUCUGCAGGGUUGCAUGAAUUCACCUACUUGCUGCAUGACUGACCUGUGCAAUACAUACAUAAACUUACAAAAUGUGAAGAAACAAUAGAAGAAAGGAUCAACAGUAAUAGUAAUUAUCUACUAUCAUGUGUUGUGCACUAUUGCAUGAUCAUAUUAAAGAUCGAUCAGUUAUAAUGUUUUUGCUUUUUCACUUUAUGUACAUCCCUUUUUUAAAUGUCUUCUAAUGGUUUUUAAAACCAACAUGAACAUGAACAGUCUUGUUGUUAAACUCUAUGUUUCAACCUUGUGCAAUGUUAUUGACUUUGAGUCCAUUCAAGGCCAUUUGGCACAUGAUCAUUUUGUGUUUUAUAGCUAAAUUACAAUUCAAAUUGUAGACU
Centropristis striata (black sea bass) is the source of this 1791-nucleotide long non-coding RNA. RefSeq lists it as uncharacterized. The transcript is spliced from 4 exons. NCBI's taxonomy places the organism in Eukaryota, Metazoa, Chordata, Actinopteri, Perciformes, Serranidae. The record is from RefSeq and is a predicted model, not a curated record.